AAUGCUUCUUGGUCUUUUGGCUAAGAUCAGGUGUAGUAUGUGUUUUUUUUCAGUUUAUAUGAUACGCACCCUCUCUGGGACCCAUGUACUAAAGGGAAUUUUAGACUAGGGAGAUGGAAGAGAAGCUUGCUCUGUCCACACCACGCCUUGAUCUGGCAUUGCAGUACUUCCAUGACCAGUACACAAUGC
Molecule: small nuclear RNA, 189 nt
Organism: Pseudophryne corroboree (corroboree frog)
Lineage: Eukaryota; Metazoa; Chordata; Amphibia; Anura; Myobatrachidae
Product: U2 spliceosomal RNA
Exons: 1
Source: RefSeq, a predicted model, not a curated record